Molecule: ribosomal RNA, 516 nt
Filed under: Didymella macrostoma
Lineage: Eukaryota; Fungi; Ascomycota; Dothideomycetes; Pleosporales; Didymellaceae
Description: eukaryotic LSU rRNA
Rfam family: 5.8S ribosomal RNA (bases 175-328)
Source: RNAcentral
UCUUUCCGUAGGUGAACCUGCGGAAGGAUCAUUACCUAGAGUUGUAGGCUUUGCCUGCUAUCUCUUACCCAUGUCUUUUAAGUACCUUACGUUUCCUCGGCGGGUCCGCCCGCCGAUUGGACAAUUUAAACCAUUUGCAGUUGCAAUCAGCGUCUGAAAAAACUUAAUAGUUACAACUUUCAACAACGGAUCUCUUGGUUCUGGCAUCGAUGAAGAACGCAGCGAAAUGCGAUAAGUAGUGUGAAUUGCAGAAUUCAGUGAAUCAUCGAAUCUUUGAACGCACAUUGCGCCCCUUGGUAUUCCAUGGGGCAUGCCUGUUCGAGCGUCAUUUGUACCUUCAAGCUCUGCUUGGUGUUGGGUGUUUGUCUCGCCUCUGCGUGUAGACUCGCCUCAAAACAAUUGGCAGCCGGCGUAUUGAUUUCGGAGCGCAGUACAUCUCGCGCUUUGCACUCAUAACGACGACGUCCAAAAGUACAUUUUUACACUCUGACCUCGAUCAGGUAGGAUACCCCCGCU